UCCGACCCGUUUUCAUGCAAGGGUUUGCUCGGCGUUGGCUCCCCUUCCCCUCUGCUCCCAUGGCCGUCAGAAGAGCAGCAGCUGCGGCUUCCACUUCCCUCAUCUCUUCUUCCCCCAGAUCCAACCUUUUCUCAACUGCUCUUCUCACAAGCCUCCUCCCUCACAUCUCUCCCCAAACCCCUUCUCCAACCUCUCCUCUUCCACGUCCUUUCCGCAUCCCCUUGCCCCCAAAAUGCCCCCUUUUCCGCCGCAUCCAAACCCUUCCCCAAAUCCCACCACCUCCUCAUCCUACUCCUACCCUUCAAUCCGCCGCCACUUCCGCAGAAGUCAUCGCCGUCAUCGAGGCGAUGGAGUCCUCCCUCGACGAGCACGACGAGAGGCUCGGCGCUGCCUGCUUCGAGGCGGCCGAGCGGCUGGAUUCCAUAGGGCACCAGGACCUCGACAGAGCCCUCGCCUUUGCCUUCCGAGCGCUGCAAUUCUUCGAGAGGAAGGACGGCGGGUGGUCGGUCUCGGUCGCCAAAGUCCUGCGAUUGAUGGGCUCCAUCAGCUGCAAGAUGAUGAGGUUCAACGAUAGCCUGGAGUCGUUAAACACCGCAGCUCAGAUUCUCGAUGCACUAAGGCGAGAAAAUUCCAGGGACGAUGAUGCUCUUAAAGCUAGCGUCGCUGUUCAGCUCCAGCUCUCGAGUACAAAGACUGCUAUGGGCCGAAGGCGGGAGGCUUUGAUCAAUCUACGGAAGUCUUUGGACCUUAAACGGUCGAUUUUGGAGCAUACUUCUAGGGAAAUGGGUGCCGCCUAUAAGGAUUUGGCGGAGGCUUAUGUUGUCGUUUUGGAUUUUGAUGAGGCUUUGCCGUUGGCUUUGAGGGCACUUGAGAUAUAUGGUGAACAAUUUGGGGAGUACUCAGCAGAAGUCGUCCAGAUUAGGCGGCUUCUUGGUGUUAUUUAUACUGGGUUGGGAGAGAAUGAUGAGGCAUUGGAGCAGAAUGAGCUUUCAAGAAGGGUCUUGGAAAGUUUAAGCUUGGAUGAAGAAUUGCUUCAGGUGGGAAUUGAUGCGGCUAACAUACUGAUCGAACUAGGUAGGCUGGAUCAAGCGAUCAGCUACCUGAAGUGGGUGAUUCAAAAGACUGACAAGGAAUGUGAGACAAGAGCAUCAGUGCUCAUCUCGAUGGCUCAGGCCUUGUGUAAUCAGGAGAAGUUUGGUGAUUCUAGAAGGUGCUUGGAAAUUGCUAGUGGUAUUCUUGACAAGAAGGAGUUAGUGUCUCCCACAAAGGUUUCUGAAGCUUAUGCAGAGAUAUCUUUGAUAUAUGAGACAAUGAAUGACUUUGAGAUUGCUUUGUCUUUGAUGAAGAAGGCUCUUGCUAUUCUUCAGGAACUUCCACAGGUACAGCAUCUGGAGGGAAGCAUCUCGAUGAGAAUUGGAUGGUUGCUUCUCUUGACAAAGAGGGUUCCCCAAUCCAUUCCCUACUUGGAAAGUGCAGCUGAGAAGCUAAAAGACUGCUUUGGUCCAAAACAUUUUGGGUUGGGAUUUGUGUAUAAGCAUUUGGGACAAGCAUAUUUGGACAUGGAUCACCCACAGUCUGCUGCUAAGGUGCUAGUUCUUGCAAAGGACAUCAUUGAUGAGUCUUUUGGGCUACAGCAUGAGGACGCAAUUGAUACGUGCCAGUGCCUUGCCAAUGCUUAUGGUGCCAUGGGAAGUUAUGCUCUUGCAAUGGAGGUCCAACAAUGCGUAAUAGAUGCAUGGGAAAACCAUGGGCCCAGUGCCAAGGAUGAAACUAGAGAAGCUCACCGCCUUUUAGAGCAGUUAAAGAAAAAGGCCCGAGGGUCACCUGCUGCAGUAUUUCCUGCAAACAGUCUGCCAUUGCUUCCACAAAAUUAAUGUUGACUCCACCAAACUCAUGCAAUCUUGUCAGUCUACAUCAUCGAGGCUCAUCUUCAAAACCAACAUUCAAGUUCAAUGAUUGCAGUUUCUCCUUCAAGCACAGGAAAGUGCCGUGAAACUCUGUUGUUCCUUGGUAUCCUAAAUUCACCAGAAUUAUCAAUACAAGGACUCAAAAAAUGAGUAGGGAUCAUUUCAAGUACACUUGGUAUGACUUGUUUGUAACACAAAAUUCAUGGUUGAGCAGAAGUGUGAUUUAUCUCAUUGUUUACUAUAUCCAUUUAGUUAAAAACUAGGCCAUGAGUUGGUAGCACUGAAUCAAACCAUCCCCCUCUGUCUCACAGUUAGUAUCAGUACUAUCUUUGGACUUUUCCCCAUGUUGAUUUCAUUCUUUGCUCGAUUGGAUUCCCAUACCUAACACUAAUCAUAAUUUUACAGGUUAGAGAACAAGAUUACUAGGAGGAGAAACAAUUAUUGUCGUUCCUUGCAGCCAUAAAUGAAGGUUCCGUUUGGUUAGUAGUUCUGUUAUUUUCUAGAUUCAGAGUUCUUUUGUGGCAGUUUGAGAUUUGCACACCGGGAAGAGGCACCUAACUUUUUGAGGGGCAAACCCGGUUUUAGACUCAUUGCUACAGCUCAAAUACUAAGAUGGAGGAACUAGAAAGAUGCAAUGGGUUGUUGAAAUAAUAAAAUUGGCUCAUGCAUAGAAAAUGUGAGAAAAAUGCUGUUGUAGGAGCAGCAAUGUGCACAUGAUGCAGCAGCGAGUUGCUUCCUCUCUCAUCUGCCUUGAAUCGGAUACAGUGAGAAUUCCUUGUGUCUGGAACAAAUCACGACUUCCGUAUGCUUGCUCAGUUGUUUGCUUGCAGCUUCUGGUUGUCACUGUUGUUCCCAAGGACCCACUGUUCCAGUUUCUUCUGCAUCUCACUCUGAAAUCAAAGCCGAUCUAAUCUUUAUUUAAAACUAAAUUGCUUUUCGUUAUGGCUUAGUGGACUGUAAUCUAGAUCUUGCUCCUGGUGCUGUUCCAGAGGUAACUGGCUUCCCUAUCUGCUGCAUCUUUAUAAUACUUUUAUAAAUGGCUUCUCCUUUAAAUUGGUUGCUGAAUAGAUUAUAACUUUGAAAGGCAUCCGAUUUGAACCAUGUUUGACCAAGAAUUUAGUGGUUGCUACCAAUGAUAGAAACUUUCUGGGCAUCUUGGUCCAAGGAAAGAAACAAAUGAGUGUUCCACUUCAACAUUGCAGAGUUUACUCUCUCCGUCUUCUUUUUGAUAACUUAGCAGUUUCAUUGGAGGAUGAAUCUUGGUGUCACAAUCAAAUUGUUCUUUUACAAUCAAAGUGUGUACAAUUAUCCUUUCCGAUGUUAUACUGGCAGGAGUUUUGUAUACUGAAUCAUCUAUUUUAAAUACUUGCGGUUGAUAGAAAUAUAUCGGGAAAUUUCAAUGA
RNA transcript from Musa acuminata AAA Group (dessert banana), 3310 nucleotides. It is a transcript of the gene named protein KINESIN LIGHT CHAIN-RELATED 2-like, with no coding region annotated. The record is from RefSeq and is a predicted model, not a curated record. Lineage: Eukaryota; Viridiplantae; Streptophyta; Magnoliopsida; Zingiberales; Musaceae. The transcript is spliced from 4 exons.